GGGUCAUCAGGAUGAUGCGGACGUGGUGUCUGCUGGGGCUGCGCACGUUCGUGGCCUUCGCCAACAAACUCUGGCAUAUCUGCACGGUAAUUCAGCAUCAAACUGUUCGAUAUGAUAUCCUCCCCUUAUCUUCUUGUCCCGGAAUCGGUUAGGUGAAGAGGAAUAUCCUCGUGCUGGAUCCGGAUGAGACGCUUACUCAUUCUCACCAUGAUGGGGUCCUGAGGCUCACAGUCCGGCGUGCAACGCCUCCUGACUUCAUCCUCAAGGUGGUAAUAGACAAACAUCCUGUGCGUUUUUUUGUACAUUAAAGGCCCCAUGUGGAUUUCUUCUUGGACGUGGUGAGCCAGUGGUGGGAGCUGGUGGUCUUUAUAGCAAGCAUGGAGAUCUAUGGCUCUGUUGUGGCAGAUUUACUGGACAAUUAGAAGAAGCAUUCUUAAGAGGAGAUACUACAGACAGCACUGCACUUCGGAGUUGGGCAGCUACAUCAAGCACCUCUCUGUGGUCCACAGUGACCUCUCCAGCAUCGUGAUCCUGGAUAACUCCCCAGCGGCUUACAGGAGCCAUCCAGACAAGGCCAUCACCAUCAAAUCCUGGUUCAGUGACCCCAGUGACCCAACCCUUCUCAACCUGCUCCCAAUGCUGGAUGCCCUCAGGUUCACCGUUGAUGUUCGUUUGGUGCUGAGCCACAACCUUCACCAGUAUAGGCUCUGGUGACAGCUGCUCCCUCUUCACCAGAGUUAGAGUUGGGGGGAAAGGGAGGGCGAGCCCUUGGGAUGCUGUUUGAUGCCCUAUCCAAUGUGAGGACUGCCUGGGCAGGGUUUGCCCCUCCUACCCCUCUCUGCCCUGGAAGCCCUACACUCCACUCGGAGUCUGGAUGGACGCAUGGGCCUGGGGCCCUGAAGCAGCCUCACUCUAACUUUGUGUUCACACUCCAUAUGUAAAUGGAGUUCAGGCUGGGAGACAGGCAGAGGCCUAGGAGAGCUAAAACAAUGUUUGUGGUGGAGAGGCAGGACUGGCCAGAGCCACAGACAGACGGUGAUCCAGGAGGCUCAAAGAGAAGCCAAGUCAACUUUGUUAUGAUUUGAUUUUUUUUUCUAAACUCUUGUACAAAACUGAAAAAAAAUGCUAUUUAUAUACAAGUAAAGUAUUAGGGACAUGUAUGGGGACAGUAAACAAUAAGCACAUGAUGGAAAUUACCUGUGGGGAGAAAGU
This is an RNA transcript of Rhinopithecus roxellana (golden snub-nosed monkey), 1212 nucleotides long. It is a transcript of the gene named CTD nuclear envelope phosphatase 1 pseudogene, with no coding region annotated. The transcript has a single exon. NCBI's taxonomy places the organism in Eukaryota, Metazoa, Chordata, Mammalia, Primates, Cercopithecidae. The record is from RefSeq and is a predicted model, not a curated record.